UUGUUUGAAAGCAGAGCAUUGAUGUAGAAUAGUAGGUAUAGAUGACAGAUCACGAGCGAAGUGUCAUCGCUCAAGUGGCCAGGUUUGCACGCAUAUACACAU
Maniola jurtina (meadow brown) is the source of this 102-nucleotide long non-coding RNA. RefSeq lists it as uncharacterized. Lineage: Eukaryota; Metazoa; Arthropoda; Insecta; Lepidoptera; Nymphalidae. The record is from RefSeq and is a predicted model, not a curated record. The transcript is spliced from 3 exons.